Molecule: long non-coding RNA, 1681 nt
Organism: Dalotia coriaria
Lineage: Eukaryota; Metazoa; Arthropoda; Insecta; Coleoptera; Staphylinidae
Exons: 3
Source: RefSeq, a predicted model, not a curated record
AUUCGAACCUUACUAAACUACAGGAACGUCUUCGAAGGAGACAUCGAAGAUCUCUAUUCAAGGAACAACAUUAUCAAUAUUUCCAUCAUAGCUUCCAGAGGGAAGCAGACAAAUUCAAGACACCAAUAUUUGUUGAAGUGAAACCUGUGAUUUGUGAAAUCGACUCCGGCUCUGGGUUUUCGUUCUUUCCCAAGGAUAUAUUCGAAAAUUUUCAAUUAUUAACGCCACUGCAGAAAACAUCAAUGCGUUUUCGCUCCUUCCCUCAAAAUGUUUUUGCUAGAGAUGAAAAAGUUUGCGUAAAUAUCGAAUAUAAUGGCAAACAUAUUCGACUAAAUUUACAUCGUUCCCUACUCUUGGAGCAGCAGCGUCUUUUCGUUACGCUAGAAAACGAUGUCCACAGAUAUGUAUACAAACGAAACAGGUUAUGCACUGUUUUAUUUCAUAAAUUCUCUCCCAACAGAAAGUUAUACAUAGUUUGCAAAACGCAGUCAUAAAGAUCUUUGAUUUCUGCUCACUGUUAGUUGUUGUAUGUACGCAAGAUAUUUGUAGUUGUAUGGCUGGUACUUUGCCUGUUCGAAUUGAACAAAACUAUACAUUCAAUUCAAUACGCUGACAUCAAAUCGAAUGAAAUCGAAGAAGAAUUUGUGGACUUAUUUCAAGAAAAAAUCGGACAAGUACUAAAAUAUCAAGAGAAAUUUCUUUUGUCUUAAAAGACCGGGUUGUGAAAGAACUGAACACUCUCGAAAAAGAAGGUUGAAAAGGUUGAAUCGAGCGAUUUGGGAUCACUAUUAGUUGUCAUUCCAAAACCCGACGGAGGAGUCAGGCUGUGUAGACUACAAGGUAGGUGUGAAUGAAAUAUUACCACGAGGACACUACCUCAUCAGGAAGAUCAACGACGUCCCGGACAGCUUAGGCAAUUCGACUUUGUCGAUUCGACUUAUAUAAGGCAAAUUUACAUGUCUCAUUGAACGAAAAAUCGAGUGAAAUUCAAACCAUUUCAACACAUCGAGGAAAGGCGAGGAUCGAGUUAAGCGGAUGUUUCGCAUGUUGUUGGUGCAUGGUCAUAUACACAACCUUACAUUUUUAUUUUUCCAACGAAGAAUUCAAUUUCUAGGAUAUGUAGGAUGGUCCAGCAGGAGCGUUUUACAAAUACUCUGACAACGGUUGGAUUAAUCAGAAUCUUUUUCUUCAAUGGUUGGUGCAUAUUACACAGCAUGCUAAGCCAUCUGCAGAUGAACCCAUAUUUUUAAUACUGGACAACCAUGCUAGUCACAUUUCUCUUUCCGUCUACGAAUAUUGUAAGUCCAAUGACAUUCAUAUGUUGUCUCUGCCACUACACACAUCACACAGAAUACAACCCUUGGACGUUCCUUUCUUUGGUCCGCUCAAAAUGGCUUACAAAAAAGAGUGUGACUUAUUUUUAAAACGCCAUCCUGCAGAAAAGACAAUCCUCUAUGACAGUGGUUCCUAACCUGGGGGUAAUUACCCCCGCAGGGGUAAAACGAAGAUUCUAGGGGGGUAAUCCGGGAUGGCACGAAAUAGUAUUAAAAUAGCAAUAAACAAAAUAAUAGUACGGUAAAUGGUAGCAUGGCGCUAUUUAUAUAUUAUAUAAAUUUAUAUAUUACUUUACUAGUUACGUAAACGUGCAAUUUCUUAUAUAAUAAACAUAUUUUCGUUCGAA